CGUCCUGCCCAGUGAACUAAGGUUUCAACGGCCGCGGUAUACCUGACCGUGCAAAGGUAGCAUAAUCACUCGCCUUUUAAUUGUAGGCUCGUAUGAAUGGAUAAACGAGGGACCCCCUGUCUCGUUAAGACAAACUAUAAAUUAAUCUCCAGGUGAAGAAGCCUGGAUACCCUUAAAAGACAAGAAGACCCUAUAGAGUUUAAUUUACUUAAUACACAUUUUAAAAUAAUUAUAUUUAAAUUCAUAUUGAUAAAUUUAGUUGGGGCGACUAAGGAAUAAAACUACCUUCCUUAAACAAAAGAAUUAAUUCUACAGAAUGAUCCUCGAAAGAACACCAAAAUAAUAUUACCUUAGGGAUAACAGGCUAAUCUCCCCAGAGAGUCCAAAUUGACGGGGAGGGUUGGCACCUCGAUGUUGGCUUAAGACAACUCUUAAAUGCAGC
This 442-nucleotide ribosomal RNA is filed under the name Sirsoe sp. 'BioSuOr' M376. Its description in RNAcentral is "partial 16S ribosomal RNA". It matches the Rfam family "Bacterial large subunit ribosomal RNA", at positions 1854 to 2559 of the family's 2925-position model. Lineage: Eukaryota; Metazoa; Annelida; Polychaeta; Phyllodocida; Hesionidae. The record is from RNAcentral.